RNAcentral lists this long non-coding RNA (1137 nucleotides) under Homo sapiens (human). Its description in RNAcentral is "HSALNT0050849". The record is from RNAcentral. Lineage: Eukaryota; Metazoa; Chordata; Mammalia; Primates; Hominidae.
AAAAAAACAAAAAUUAGCCGGGCCUGGUGGCAGAUGCCUGUAGUCCCAGCUACUCAGGAGGCUGAGGCAGGAGAAUGGUGUGAACCCGGGAGGCAGAGCUUGCAGUGAACCAAGAUCACGCUACUGCACUCCAGCCUGGGCAACAGAGCAAGACUCCAUCUCAAAAAAAAAAAAAAAGCAGGAUAAUAUACCUUGUGGCUGAGGAUGUGAGGAAAUGCACUCCCAUACAUCCCUGAUGAACGUGUUAAUUGAUACAAUCUCCUUGGAAGGUGGCAUUGUCUGUAGUAGCUAGAAUGAAAACAAAACCUCAAUCUCUAUCAGCUGGUUAUAUACAUUAAGGAAUAUCCAUACAAUGGAAUGUAAGGCAAAAAGAAUGAAGUGAUCUAAACUUACUGUUGAGGAGCAAUAGCCAAGAAAGACAUGAAAAAACAAAGGACCUAGAAAAGCAUUAACAAAACACAUGUGUGGCUAAAUAGAGAGGAGUGGCAUACAAAGGUAAAUGUGGCUUUCUUUUUUCAAAUGCCUGAGGGUAACCACUUUGUGUGUUCCUUUCUAACAGCUUUAAGAUAUAAUUUAUAUACCAUAAAGUUCACUCAUUUAAAGUGUAUGAGCAGCAGGCAUGGUGGCUCACGCCUGUAAUCCCAGCAAUUUGGGAGGCCAAGGUGGGCAGAUCACAAGGUCAGGAGUUCAAGACCAGCCUCAACAAUAUGGUGAAACCCCAUCUCUACUAAAAAGAAAUACAAAAAUUAGUAGGGCAUGGUGGCAUGUGCCUGUAAUCCCAGCUAUUCAGGAGGCUGAGGCAGUAGAAUCGCUUGAAUCUGGAAGGCAGAGGUUGCAAUGAGCCAAUAUCGUGCCAUUGCACUCCAGCCUAGGCAACAGAGGGAGACUCUGUCUCAAAACAAAAAAGAAGAAAGAAAACAGGUGUAUGACCAGCUGGCCUGGUGGCUCACUCCUGUAAUUUCAGCAAGACUGUAAUCUAGUUUGUCUUGAUAGAUUUGCCUAUUCUGAAAAAAUUAAAAAUGGAAUCAUACAAUAUGUGACUUGCUUUUUCUUACCAUGAUCUCAAGGUUCAUCCAUGUUGUAACGUGUCAGUAUGUUUGAAAUGCUUGUUCCCCAGUGCCAUAAAGAAAUAGCACU